GCCUCCAUCGUCUAGUGGUAGGAUGCUGCGUUCUCAGCGCGGGGACCGAGGUUCAAUUCCUCGUGGAGGCA
RNAcentral lists this transfer RNA (71 nucleotides) under Desulfobacca sp. RBG_16_60_12. Its description in RNAcentral is "tRNA-Glu". It matches the Rfam family "tRNA". Rfam says of the family: Transfer RNA (tRNA) molecules are approximately 80 nucleotides in length. Their secondary structure includes four short double-helical elements and three loops (D, anti-codon, and T loops). The record is from RNAcentral. Lineage: Bacteria; Pseudomonadati; Thermodesulfobacteriota; Desulfobaccia; Desulfobaccales; Desulfobaccaceae.